This 385-nucleotide ribosomal RNA is filed under the name uncultured bacterium. RNAcentral describes it as "bacterial SSU rRNA". It matches the Rfam family "Bacterial small subunit ribosomal RNA", at positions 28 to 406 of the family's 1533-position model. The record is from RNAcentral.
GAUGAACGCUAGCGACAGGCCUAACACAUGCAAGUCGAGGGGCAGCACGGGAGUAGCAAUACAACUGGUGGCGACCGGCGCACGGGUGAGUAACACGUAUGCAACCUACCUGUAAGAGGGGAAUAACCCGGAGAAAUUCGGACUAAUACCGCAUAAUACUGUUUACCUGCAUGGGUGAACAGUUAAACAUUUAUGGCUUACAGAUGGGCAUGCGUAUGAUUAGCUAGUUGGUGAGGUAACGGCUCACCAAGGCAACGAUCAUUAGGGGUUCUGAGAGGAAGGUCCCCCANACUGGUACUGAGACACGGACCAGACUCCUACGGGAGGCAGCAGUGAGGAAUAUUGGUCAAUGGGCGAGAGCCUGAACCAGCCAAGUCGCGUGAAG